Molecule: long non-coding RNA, 1220 nt
Filed under: Equus caballus (horse)
Lineage: Eukaryota; Metazoa; Chordata; Mammalia; Perissodactyla; Equidae
Description: lncRNA (ENSECAG00000052251.1)
Source: RNAcentral
GUGAGUGAACCUGGAAGUGGAUUGUCCUCCAGGGGCAAGAUUCAGCUAUUCUGAAUUAAAUAAUGUUUCAGCUACACCAUCUGCUUUUGAUGCUACAUAAUUUAUGAAAAGAUUGAAGAGAAUGGUCCAACCUCAAGUAUUGGGCUAAUGGACCUUGCCCUGCCUGCCUUCUUUUGCCUAGAUCAUGAAAGGCCCCUCACUGCCACACUCCUGAGUAAGGAUGGAGGAACAGAAAAGGAUGAGAAACCCUGUUUUGAAAAAGAAACGUUGCCUUGCCAUCACAACAUCCUAAAAAAUAAACACAGAGGUGUGGAUAGGCAACUGGAAGUGAAAAAACUCUCUGGCUUGGAAUUCAGAAUUUUUAAUAAUACUGCCUUCAGUUUUGCUUCAACAACAGUAUUCAUAGGCCACAUGUGUGGUGCCAAUAUAACCAAAGUGAGACUGGUAAGCAUGGCACCGCAGAAAGAGUGAUGUCAGCAUCGUGGAGGCAUAAGUUGUUCCUCUUUUCUCCUCUUCCCAUUUUUUUUAAAAAAAAUGAGAUCCAUAAUCAAAUAAAAGAAAUGAAAGUCCCUCAGCACUUUGCACCAAAGGACCCAGGAGUGUUCUUGUUCACCUGUGCCUCAGAAAAUAAACAAAUAAGACCUCAAGAGUGUUUGGAUCUAAACAAAUAAAAUCCAAAAGAGCUGGUGAACCCGUCCACUUCCACUCACCAUGACUGGGGGAAAACACCAAGAGCAUGCAAACCUGGGCAGAUACCCACAGAUGAGAGACAAAUUAUAGAAGUCCAGACAACCUGAGGAGAGAUUCCAGCAUACCAUCAGGAGCAGGAUAGAGAAGAGUUUGGAUGCAGAGGAGAGAAAGAACUCACCAGAGCCACCUCCCUCCCGCAGGCAACACUUCAAGGGGCAAAGCUGUUUGGCCAUGGCAGUAGGUGAGUUCUCCUACAGAGGAAGUAGAAACCAAAGACCUUUCCGUGGAGGAGAUAGAAAGCAAAAGUGGUGAGUGACUGCCUGGCUAUCUCAGGUGUGUGGGUUGCUGCUGGAGAAACCCAUUUCUCUCCAGCAGCAGCUUGGUUUCUGAGGAGUGAUCUCCAUGACUAAGAAGAAGGAGGAGAAAGGGAAGGAAGCAGAUAAGAAUAUCAAAGGACAUUAAAGGAAUGAGGUUCCUGCUGUUGGCUUCAGGACUUCACCAGGAAGUUUCCCCACAAGGCUCUGGGAGUA